Molecule: small nuclear RNA, 146 nt
Filed under: Heterocephalus glaber (naked mole-rat)
Lineage: Eukaryota; Metazoa; Chordata; Mammalia; Rodentia; Bathyergidae
Description: U4 spliceosomal RNA
Rfam family: U4 spliceosomal RNA
About the family: U4 small nuclear RNA (U4 snRNA) is a component of the major U2-dependent spliceosome. The structure of U4 snRNA from yeast and human has been reported. U4 snRNA presents a k-turn RNA motif in the 5p-SL related to recognition of Snu13 protein.
Source: Rfam by way of RNAcentral
AGCUUUGCAUAGUAGCAGUAUUGUGGCCAAUGAGGUUUAUCCAAGGUGUGAUUAUUGCUAAUUGAAACUUUAUAUAUCUUGCAUUAAAUGUUUCUCUGCUAAGCACUAACUGAUGCAAUAUUAUUAAUCUCAGAUCCUCUUUAUGG